Molecule: long non-coding RNA, 375 nt
Organism: Prosopis cineraria
Lineage: Eukaryota; Viridiplantae; Streptophyta; Magnoliopsida; Fabales; Fabaceae
Exons: 3
Source: RefSeq, a predicted model, not a curated record
UUUUAAUUUCCCUAGAAAUUUCUGAUGUAGCUCACCAGGAUUGGCAAUAAAGCCUCUGACAUGCAACCUGUCGUGGCCAAUCAAGAAAUGAAUGAAGGAUGUCAAAAUAUUCUGAAAAAGUGAGAAUUAUAUAUGCUCCCAAGUGGCCAUGCAGUGUUCUUCCUUCUGUGGAACCGUGUGGCGCUUAAAUUGUGACACUGGUGAUUGGCCCAAGAAAGUCAAAAGUAAAAGCUGCAGAAAGAGCUUGGCUUUGAUUUCAAAUCUCUGUGCAAGGAGGUCUUACACGCACAUACAGCACACCCACACACAAUAUUUUUAAUCACAUGUGGAUUUGAUCCUGGAGUUCUCGCGGUAAGAAUCAAAUGCUAUUCGAAC